GACGUACGCUGGCGGCGUGCCUAAUACAUGCAAGUAGAACGCUGAAGGAGUAGCUUGCUCUUCUGGAUGAGUUGCGAACGGGUGAGUAACGCGUAGGUAACCUGCCUGGUAGCGGGGGAUAACUAUUGGAAACGAUAGCUAAUACCUCCUAAGAGUAGAUGUUGCAUGACAUUUUCUUAAUAGGUGCAUUUGCUUCCCUACCAGAUGAAACUGCUUUGUAUUAGCUAGUUGGUGGGGUAACGGCACACCAAGGCGACGAUACAUAGCCGACCUGAGAGGGGGAUCGGCCACACUGGGACUGAGACACGGCCCAGACUCCUACGGGGAGGAGCAGUAGGGAAUCUUCGGCAAUGGACGGAAGGCUGACCGAGCAACGCCGCGUGAGUGAAGAAGGUUUUCGGAUCGUAAAGCUCUGGUGUAAGAGAAGAACGGGUGGGGGAGUGGAAAGUUCAAGCAGUGACGGUAUCUUACCAGAAAGGGACGGCUAACUACGUG
Molecule: ribosomal RNA, 495 nt
Filed under: uncultured bacterium
Lineage: Bacteria
Description: partial 16S ribosomal RNA
Rfam family: Bacterial small subunit ribosomal RNA
Source: RNAcentral